CGCGUCACACCCGUGUCGCGUCGCGGGUGCACAGAGUGUAGACGGUUCACACAUUUGUUUCACAUGACGAGGCAGUUGAUAAAGCGAGCGUAUCUCUCUCUCUGAAUUUUGUCGAGGAGUCUGCAAGUAAUGAUGAUACGCCCGAUUGGCGGCUAUCCGACGGUGAUUGUAAAUAGAUGAUUGAGCGCUGCCCGAGUGUGCACAUCCACGUUAAACAUGGAGAGCCUGGAACGCUGCGUGAGGUCCCUGGACGAGAACGAGGCCGACGUCCGUAACGAAGCACGACGAGCGUUGUUAAGUAUCUGCCGUAGCGUGCUGGGGUCGCCGAGCGACGACAAGUCCCGCGAGUUGCGUCUCGACAACGAGGUGGUCACGGAGAAGCUCCUGCCAGCUAUCGGCGCGAUGGAAUGCCUGUUCGACGUCGGUUACGUUGAGGAUGGAGAACGCAUAUUCCUGCCGCAUGACGCAUCUCUCUCGAGGCUCGAAGGUUUGUCGAGACUGUUAUCCACUGCCGUGUCACGGAGCACUCCCGCAAUCAGGGACACCGUAAGGAGCUCCUCAGGAGCGCAGAAGGCAUUCUUCGACAGAAUCACUGGACACUUUCACAGCGUCAUGCAUUACGAGGAUCCUAACUUGCAGCAGAAGGCGAGGCGCGUUGUGCCCGUGGCGCAAUUAGAAAUUGCAGUAAUGACCAAGAUGAGGGAGCUGCAAAGAUCUUUGAAGUUAAAUGGCGCGGAAGAAGCCGCGCAGUUCGAGACAGAACUCGUUGCCAAAGAUUUACUUUUGAUCGAGCUUCUGCGCUGGUUCAAGCACGAAUUCUUCAAAUGGGUCAACAGUCCGGCGUGUUCGGUGUGCUCUAUGGAAUGCGUGUACGAAAGUGUGACGCCGUCCGCGGACCCUCGAUGCUCGAGGAUAGAGUUGCACAGAUGUGAAAAGUGCAAUAUAGUUGUCGAAUUUCCUCGUUAUUCGCAUCCAGAGCCAUUGCUGACGCUGAGACGCGGCCGCUGCGGGGAAUGGGCUAACGUGUUCACGCUUCUCUGUCGAUCAUUGGGCUACGACGCACGAUUCGUGUGCGACGAGACGGAUCACGUCUGGACGGAGGUAUGGUCCAUAGCAAACGAGAGGUGGAUUCACCUAGAUCCUUGCGAGAACGCGACAGACAAACCGUUAAUGUACGAAAAGGGAUGGAAGAAGAAGUUGACGUAUAUAAUCGCUUACUCGAGGGACGAGGUGCAAGAUGUCACGUGGCGUUACACUCGGGACCAAGAAGCUGUCAUGAAAAGACGGAGGACUUGCGCCGAGCAGAGCUUGAUGCGAUUCGUUCGAUCGUUGAGCGAGCAACGGCAGAAUUCUAGCGGUUACAGUAGUGCGCGCAGAGAGUACGUCGUCAAGCGCAGUCUGCUGGAGCUUGCCGGUAUGCUGUACAUUCCAAACUCGCGGGAUCAGGAUUCCGACGAGAGUUACGAGGGACGGACCUCGGGUUCGAUCGCGUGGAGAUUGGCGCGAGGUGAAAUCUCUCAGGUGAACACAGAGAAGAAUUGUACUUGGGAGCUUUCCAAAUACGGGCAAUCAUUCGAAUUGCGAUAUAACAUCGUUAGUGACGUAUACCACGUUGUGCAUAAUGGUACCACUUUGGAGCAGAAGUCUGGGUGGCUGGAAGGCAUGAACGCCACGGAGGGUGGGAUCUUCCGUAAAGUGGAGAACGAUUGGAGAAUGGUUUAUUUAGCGCGAUCACCACGGGCGGAGCACGGACGUGUUAAGUGGACUUUCGAGAUCGCGAAUUCCAGAUCGAGCCUGGAGGCAUUCGGUCUCGAAGCUAAAUCAAAAGCGUUUCACGGAGCCAGCGUAUCGUGGCAAGUCGAGGCUGUCUUUGAUGACGAUAGGGCGAUUGUAAUACCUGUUCCUAGCUGCAACAGCUUCCGCACGGAAGAGGUACGGGGAGCGGUGAAAUUAAACGUAAUCGUCAAGUUGUCCGGCGGAGAAGGUGAACUUGCCUGGCAACACGCCCAGCUGUUUCGGCAAAGUCUCGAGAAGAUCGACGAGCCGUCUAUGAUAAUUAGUAUAAAACUGAGAAAUCGCGCAUGACUCGUAUAAAGCUCCAACUCUUGUUAAAGAUUUCUUCCAACAUGGAAUCAUGUGAAGAAGUUUGCAAAGGAUCUAAAUCUAAACGCGGUUUCGUACAAAGUUGGCUAAACGAUGAUCGAUUCAAAGAUUGGUUACGUCAAGUACCGAAUGACGAGAGUCAGUAUCAUUGCACGAUAUGUAAUCAAGAUUUUUCGUGCAAUGCGUCACGCGUCUCCAGCCAUACUGAGUCUGCGUGCCAUGAAAACAGUUUGAAAAGAUUAAUAAAAGAUAUGAGUACUUUUAAAUUCUGGUUAGGUGUAGUUCCAGAUGACGCAAGUAUGUUGUCUUGUAAGAUUUGCGGAAGAACGUUUGUUGCCAAAUUAUCGCAGGUCCGUCGGCACGCACGAUCGCGAAAGCAUUUAAAAUGUGUAAGAGAAAAGGAAUUGAAAUGAGCGAGUCGAAUGACGAUACGCAAGACGCGAAUCUCCAGGGUCUGACGCAAGACAUUGAGAAUCUUUUGCUGUUUGAUGAACGUAAAAACAUUGCGGAAAUGCAAUUUGCUGCUCUCGUCGCGGAAAAUGAUAUACCUUUUCAAACUGCAGAAGAACUUCUGAGCCUUUUUCAAUCAAUAGACAAAGAUGUGCUGAAAAGCAUGAAAAUGGAUUGAUGGCAAGUUGCUGCCCAUUCUGUUGUAGGAACUCCUUAACAUCGAACAUGCAAUGAUCGAGUUUUACAAGUUAGCUGCUUUUGAUGUAUCCACGGCAAGUUUCUUACAAAGAGUCCGAUAUUGUUUCAAUAUUAUUAUUAUUAUUCUCAUUACGUUAUUCUAAUUACGUUUAUGUUUAAUUUAAUAAAUUAUUACUCCCCGGAUUUUGUAAAUGCUAUAAGAAUGAUAAAGGAAAAAGCAUUUUCAGUGAGAUUUUGUCCAGAGCUAAUAAUGGUGAGAAAUUUAUAUAAUAUGCCUCGAUUAUUACUUUAAGUUAAUUAAUAUAUGUAAGAAGAGUUGUACAUUCUCGGAUGACUUCAAUAUUUUUUCACUAAUAACUUACAUUUAGUUAAACUGAACUUUUCAUAUUAAACAUAUGUAAUAUUGAUGUAUAUGAUAUUAUAGAGCUUGCAGAGCAAAAUUAUCACGAUUAAUAAACCAAAGGUUAUGUAAAGUA
Molecule: RNA transcript, 3227 nt
Organism: Ooceraea biroi (clonal raider ant)
Lineage: Eukaryota; Metazoa; Arthropoda; Insecta; Hymenoptera; Formicidae
Gene: Pngl
Gene name: N-glycanase Pngl
Source: RefSeq, a predicted model, not a curated record